UAGAGGCUGACAUAGCUUCUGCUACAGAUGCACUGCUCUACUAGAUCAUCAUCUGAUCAUCAGGCUUAUUUCAUAUCUAGCUUUCACACAAAUAUGUCUUUAUCAUGUCCUGACUCAGUUUUCAACUUUUAUUCGUCAUGAGAGAGCUGGGGGUUGUUACUUCUUUUCUUCUUUUUCUUUUUCUUUUUCUUUUCUUUUCUUUUCUUUUCUUUUCUUUUUCUCUUUUCCUUUCUAAAAUUUCUCUUGUGCUCCCUUUUUUCGAUGAUGGGAAACACAUAACAUCUUCUUCCCCUUGUUACUUGAUUGCUCUCUCGAUGCGAAACCUGUACUUUUUAAGAUCAUGACGGCAUAUUUGGCAGCUCUUUUCCACUACUCACUUCUGAUGUAAGACAAAAUAUGAGCUUUGAGUGCCUUUGCAUCAGCCCUUCCAUCA
This 433-nucleotide long non-coding RNA is filed under the name Brassica napus (rape). RNAcentral describes it as "long non-coding RNA (BNAP_LNC009717)". The record is from RNAcentral. Lineage: Eukaryota; Viridiplantae; Streptophyta; Magnoliopsida; Brassicales; Brassicaceae.